AUUGAACGCUGGCGGCAGGCCUAACACAUGCAAGUCGAACGGUAGCACAGAGCGCUUGCUCUUGGGUGACGAGUGGCGGACGGGUGAGUCAUGUCCGGGAAACUGCCCGAUGGAGGGGGAUAACUACUGGAAACGGUAGCUAAUACCGCAUAACGUCUUCGGACCAAAGUGGGGGACCUUCGGGCCUCACACCAUCGGAUGUGCCCAGAUGGGAUUAGCCAGUAGGUGGGGUAAUGGCUCACCUAGGCGACGAUCCCUAGCUGGUCUGAGAGGAUGACCAGCCACACUGGAACUGAGAAACGGUCCAGACUCCUACGGGAGGCAGCAGUGGGGAAUAUUGCACAAUGGGCGCAAGCCUGAUGCAGCCAUGCCGCGUGUAUGAAGAAGGCCUUCGGGUUGUAAAGUACUUUCAGCGGGGAGGAAGGCGGUGGAGUUAAUAGCUUCAUCGAUUGACGUUACCCGCAGAAGAAGCACCGGCUAACUCCGUGCCAGCAGCCGCAGUAA
This 504-nucleotide ribosomal RNA is filed under the name uncultured bacterium. Its description in RNAcentral is "partial 16S ribosomal RNA". It matches the Rfam family "Bacterial small subunit ribosomal RNA", at positions 30 to 523 of the family's 1533-position model. The record is from RNAcentral.